GGGCGUUAAAGGGCUCCGCAGGCGGUUUCUUAAGUCUGAUGUGAAAGCCCCCGGCUCAACCGGGGAGGGUCAUUGGAAACUGGGGAACUUGAGUGCAGAAGAGGAGAGUGGAAUUCCACGUGUAGCGGUGAAAUGCGUAGAGAUGUGGAGGAACACCAGUGGCGAAGGCGACUCUCUGGUCUGUAACUGACGCUGAGGAGCGAAAGCGUGGGGAGCGAACAGGAUUAGAUACCCUGGUAGUCCACGCCGUAAACGAUGAGUGCUAAGUGUUAGGGGGUUUCCGCCCCUUACUGCUGCAGCUAACGCAUUAAGCACUCCGCCUGGGGAGUACGGUCGCAAGACUGAAACUCAAAGGAAUUGACGGGGGCCCGCA
RNAcentral lists this ribosomal RNA (373 nucleotides) under Bacillus subtilis. RNAcentral's name for it is "bacterial SSU rRNA". It matches the Rfam family "Bacterial small subunit ribosomal RNA", at positions 556 to 925 of the family's 1533-position model. The record is from RNAcentral. Lineage: Bacteria; Bacillati; Bacillota; Bacilli; Caryophanales; Bacillaceae.